UAUCCUCUUUGAGGGCCUCUAUCAUUUGCAUGAAUUAAUUUUUAAGGUCAUUCUCUUUGGCUUCAUUUACAUUGGAAUGUUAGAUCUUGCUGUUGUAGAGACUCUAGAGUCAGGCAGUGUAAUAUUUUUUUUUCUGUUGCUGAGUGUGUUUUUGUAUUGUCUCCUUCCCAUCCCUUCUACUAGUGGAUGAAGAAGGAGCCUCUUCCUGGCCAGGUGGUUAAGUGAUCAGGCUUCACUUUUGUUGAGGAUCUCAGGUCGUUUCCUGCUUUUGAGAACGAGGCUCUUGAUGAGAAGAUCAAAUACAGUCCUAUCCAGCUGGGAUGCCAUGAACCAAACAAUGUCCAUCACGGAAAGACAUCCCAUUUACCAGAGACCACCAGGAAGGCAGCUUUUCUAAGAAGAAACCAUGGCUGGGACAGGCGUCAUGAGAUGCAGCUGCCCUUGGGUCAGCCCUAAUGUAGGUGAUGCCACACCCAUAAUUCGUUGAGGAUCGCAGUUCAUUUCUGGCUUUUAAGGAGGAGGCUCUUGAGGGGAGGAGCAAUAACAGUCCUACCCAGCUGGGAUGUCCCUGAACCACAAGAAUGACCUGCAUGCCAUGAUGUCCCGUUUACCAGAGACCUCCAGGAAGACAGCUGUUCUAAGGUGAAGCCAGCCUGGCCCAGGCAUCGUGAGAUGCAGCUGCCCUAGAGUCAGCCCUGCGUAAGUGGUGCCGCAACCAUACUUCUGCAAGGAGCUCCAGGAAACCUGCUGACUUAAUGAGCUGGAUUUGGGGAGAGUAGUUUCCCCAGCAUUCUUAUACUGAUGGUUUCUGGGACAUUGGAGAUCUUUUUACCACUUUGCCCUUUCAGCCCAGCGCCCCCGUACACCUGGAGUCGAGAGCAAAGUCUUCCAGUUUCAUGUUGCCAUCUAUGUUUAGCAGGGUGCUGUGUGGUUUUGGUUCUCCAAGGACAAUGUGACGUUAACUACUUGAAUAUUUGCAACCCCCCACCUGCAGAUUCCUUCCUACAGUUUCACUUGGAGCAAAUUAUCUCGAGUGAAAUAAUGGUUUUGGGUUACAAUAAUCUGGAAAGUGGAAUAUGUGUGGAUUGUUUAGUAUUUCAAGUUUCACCAAUGAACGGAUGGACCAAUGACAAUUCUCUGUGUUGUCUACAACUUUUAUGGCCACUGGGGUGCAUGUGAGAUGCUGAUUGGCCAGUUUCGCAGAGAAAAAGGAACAAUGUCAAUGGUAAAUAGAAUCUUGUAUUGUG
Long non-coding RNA from Mesocricetus auratus (golden hamster), 1247 nucleotides. RefSeq lists it as uncharacterized. The transcript is spliced from 3 exons. Lineage: Eukaryota; Metazoa; Chordata; Mammalia; Rodentia; Cricetidae. The record is from RefSeq and is a predicted model, not a curated record.